This 398-nucleotide long non-coding RNA is filed under the name Hordeum vulgare. Its description in RNAcentral is "long non-coding RNA (HVUL_LNC006505)". The record is from RNAcentral. Lineage: Eukaryota; Viridiplantae; Streptophyta; Magnoliopsida; Poales; Poaceae.
AGGUUCAAUAGUAAUGUGAAGUACGCAAAGACAAGUAGACCGUUAUUCAUCGGCAUCUACUUACUAAUCAUCCACCUUGAGAUAUCUAUCCAAAACAUCUCGCUGGUAUUAAGUUGCGAGCCCCACCCAAAGUGUAAACUCAAAGAAACGGACAACUGCAUUAAUGAACUAUGCGUAAGGCAACCAUGGUCACAAGCACCGUUGUUUUCUCCCUGGUGGCAACAGCUCAUCCCCUAGUCUCAUGUUUCUGUCACUCAAGCUAGACAUGGAGGGGCAUGAACCCACAAUCAUGCAUAACGCUCCCUCUUGGAAUUACAAUCUACUACUCGGCCAAAGCAAUAAAUAGCAACGGAGAACAUGUAUGAAUCACGAAGGAACGUAAUAUAAAAGGAUAAUCA